Molecule: ribosomal RNA, 355 nt
Filed under: Carabus buddaicus gansuicus
Lineage: Eukaryota; Metazoa; Arthropoda; Insecta; Coleoptera; Carabidae
Description: partial 12S ribosomal RNA
Source: RNAcentral
UUUAAAUGUAAAAUAAAUAUACUAAAGUAGUAUUAGUUAUGUUCUUGAAAUUUAAAGAUUUUGGCGGUAUUUUAGUCUAUUUAGAGGAGCCUGUUCUGUAAUUGAUGAUCCACGAUUAAUUUUACUUAAUUUCUAUAAAUUUGUAUACCGUCGUUAUAAGAAGAUUUUAAAAGAAUAUAAAUUUUUAAUAUUUUAUAUAAAAAAAUAUAUCAGAUCAAGGUGCAGUUUAUAAUUAAGGAGAAAUGGGCUACAAUAAAUUUAUUUAUACGGAUUAAAAUAAGAAUAUGAUUUUAUGAAGGUGGAUUUAAUAGUAAUAGGGUUUAUUUAAAUUUUAUGAUUUUAGCUCUAAAAUAUG